Molecule: ribosomal RNA, 745 nt
Filed under: Arthrobacter sp. CBG_LBI40
Lineage: Bacteria; Bacillati; Actinomycetota; Actinomycetes; Micrococcales; Micrococcaceae
Description: bacterial SSU rRNA
Rfam family: Bacterial small subunit ribosomal RNA
Source: RNAcentral
GGCGGCGUGCUUAACACAUGCAAGUCGAACGAUGAACCUCACUUGUGGGGGGAUUAGUGGCGAACGGGUGAGUAACACGUGAGUAACCUGCCCUUGACUCUGGGAUAAGCCUGGGAAACUGGGUCUAAUACCGGAUAUGACCUUCCAUCGCAUGGUGGUUGGUGGAAAGCUUUUGCGGUUUUGGAUGGACUCGCGGCCUAUCAGCUUGUUGGUGGGGUAAUGGCCUACCAAGGCGACGACGGGUAGCCGGCCUGAGAGGGUGACCGGCCACACUGGGACUGAGACACGGCCCAGACUCCUACGGGAGGCAGCAGUGGGGAAUAUUGCACAAUGGGCGGAAGCCUGAUGCAGCGACGCCGCGUGAGGGAUGACGGCCUUCGGGUUGUAAACCUCUUUCAGUAGGGAAGAAGCGUAAGUGACGGUACCUGCAGAAGAAGCGCCGGCUAACUACGUGCCAGCAGCCGCGGUAAUACGUAGGGCGCAAGCGUUAUCCGGAAUUAUUGGGCGUAAAGAGCUCGUAGGCGGUUUGUCGCGUCUGCCGUGAAAGUCCGGGGCUCAACUCCGGAUCUGCGGUGGGUACGGGCAGACUAGAGUGAUGUAGGGGAGACUGGAAUUCCUGGUGUAGCGGUGAAAUGCGCAGAUAUCAGGAGGAACACCGAUGGCGAAGGCAGGUCUCUGGGCAUUAACUGACGCUGAGGAGCGAAAGCAUGGGGAGCGAACAGGAUUAGAUACCCUGGUAGUCCAU